This 85-nucleotide transfer RNA is filed under the name Madurella mycetomatis. It matches the Rfam family "tRNA". Rfam says of the family: Transfer RNA (tRNA) molecules are approximately 80 nucleotides in length. Their secondary structure includes four short double-helical elements and three loops (D, anti-codon, and T loops). Lineage: Eukaryota; Fungi; Ascomycota; Sordariomycetes; Sordariales. The record is from Rfam by way of RNAcentral.
GGUCCGCUGGCGUAAUGGCAGCGCGUCUGACUACGAUACAUAUCGUGCAAUCAGGAGGUUCCAGGUUCGACCCCUGGGCGGAUCG